GGAAGGAUCAUUAUUGAAUGAAUCUAGAGUCGGUUGUCGCUGGCCCCCCAAUCCGGGGCAUGUGCACACCUUCUCUUUUCAUCCACACACACCCUGUGCACUUGUGAGAUGGAGGAUUGAAAAGUCCUCCGUCUACUUAAUCACACAAACUCGUCGUCACUUAAACUGAAUGUAAAUUGAUGUAACACAUCAUUGGAACAAAGUUUCAACAACGGAUCUCUUGGCUCUCGCAUCGAUGAAGAACGCAGCGAAAUGCGAUAAGUAAUGUGAAUUGCAGAAUUCAGUGAAUCAUCGAAUCUUUGAACGCACCUUGCGCUCCUUGGUAUUCCUUGGAGCAUGCCUGUUUGAGUAUCAUGAGCAAAUCUCAAAGUCGAUCCUUUUGUUAAAUUCAAUUGGGUUUGCUUUGGACUUGGAGGUCUUUGCAGAUUUUCACCGUCUGCUCCUCUUAAAUGCAUUAGCUGGAUCUCAGUAUUAUGCUUGGUUCCACUCGGCGUGAUAAGUAUCACUCGCUGAGGACACUGUUAAAAAGGUGGCCAGGAAAAUACUGAUUGAACCGCUUCUAACGGUCUAUUAACUUAGACAAAAUUACCCUUAAGUUUGAUCUCAAAUCAGGUAGGACUACCCGCUGAACUUAAGCAUAUCAAUAAGCGGAGGAAAAGAAACUAACAAGGAUUCCCCUAGUAACGGCGAGUGAAGCGGGAAGAGCUCAAAUUUAAAAUCUGACGGUGUAUUCCGUCCGAGUUGUAGCCUAGAGAAGCAUCAUCCGCGCUGGACCAUGUACAAGUCUCUUGGAACAGAGCGUCAUAGAGGGUGAGAAUCCCGUCCUUGACAUGGACUCCCAGUGCUUUGUGUUGUGCUCUCGACGAGUCGAGUUGUUUGGGAAUGCAGCUCAAAAUGGGUGGUAAAUUCCAUCUAAAGCUAAAUAUUGGCGAGAGACCGAUAGCGAACAAGUACCGUGAGGGAAAGAUGAAAAGCACUUUGGAGAGAGAGUUAAACAGUACGUGAAAUUGUUGAAAUGGAAACGCUUGAAGUCAGUCGCGUUCUCUGGGAUUCAGCCUUGCUUCUGCUUGGUGCAUUUCCCAGUCUACGGGCCAGCAUGAAUUUCGACCAGUGGAAAAGGGUUUGGGGAAUGUAGCACCUCCAGGUGUGUUAUAGCCCCUUGCUGUAUACGCCGGUUGGGAUUGAGGAUUUCAGUGCACGCUUCGGUUGUGCUUUGAUGCUGGCGUAAUGGCUUUAAGCGACCCGUCUUGAAACACGGACCAAGGAGUCUAACAUGUCUGCGAGUGUUUGGGUGCAAAACCCAUGCGCGUAAUGAAAGUGAUAGUUGGGAACCUCUCACGAGGGGCACCGACGCCCGGACCAGACCUUCUGUGACGGAUCCGAGGUAGAGCAUAUAUGUUGGGACCCGAAAGAUGGUGAACUAUGCCUGCAUAGGGUGAAGCCAGAGGAAACUCUGGUGGAGGCUCGUAGCGAUUCUGACGUGCAAAUCGAUCGUCAAAUGUGGGUAUAGGGGCGAAAGACUAAUCGAACCAUCUAGUAGCUGGUUCCUGC
This 1551-nucleotide unclassified non-coding RNA is filed under the name uncultured fungus. RNAcentral's name for it is "sequence contains 18S rRNA gene, ITS1, 5.8S rRNA gene, ITS2, 28S rRNA gene". The stretch from base 599 to 1551 matches the Rfam family "Eukaryotic large subunit ribosomal RNA", at positions 1 to 961 of the family's 3401-position model. The record is from RNAcentral. Lineage: Eukaryota; Fungi.